Molecule: ribosomal RNA, 221 nt
Filed under: uncultured bacterium
Lineage: Bacteria
Description: partial 16S ribosomal RNA
Rfam family: Bacterial small subunit ribosomal RNA
Source: RNAcentral
ACGCUCGACACCUACGGAGGCAGCAGUAGGGAAUCUUCCACAAUGGACGCAAGUCUGAUGGAGCAACGCCGCGUGAGUGAAGAAGGUCUUCGGAUCGUAAAACUCUGUUGUUAGAGAAGAACACGAGUGAGAGUAACUGUUCAUUCGAUGACGGUAUCUAACCAGCAAGUCACGGCUAACUACGUCNCACAGCCGCGGUAAUCUGAGCGGGCGUGCAAGGC